RNAcentral lists this ribosomal RNA (357 nucleotides) under uncultured bacterium. RNAcentral describes it as "partial 16S ribosomal RNA". It matches the Rfam family "Bacterial small subunit ribosomal RNA", at positions 338 to 693 of the family's 1533-position model. The record is from RNAcentral.
CCUACGGGAGGCAGCAGUGAGGAAUAUUGGUCAAUGGUCGGGAGACUGAACCAGCCAAGCCGCGUGAGGGAUGAAGGUACAGAGUAUCGUAAACCUCUUUUGUCAGGGAACAAAGGCGGGGACGUGUCCCCGGAUGAGUGUAACUGAAGAAAUAGCAUCGGCUAACUCCGUGCCAGCAGCCGCGGUAAUACGGACGAUGCGAGCGUUAUCAGGAUGUAUUGGGUUGAAGGGGUGCGCAGGCGGCCUGUUAAGUCCGCGGUCAAAGCGCGGGGCUAAACCCCGGCCCGCCGUUGAAACUGGCAGUCUCGAGUUGGAGAGAAGUAUGCGGAAUGCGCGGUGUAGCGGUGAAAUGCAUAG